UUAUUUCAUCAUCUCGUUUUCACUUCCUUGCAGCGAAAGAUGGUUGUCAAAGCAGCGUUCGCAGUUGCCAUGUUUUUGCUCACAACCAAUAUGCUCGUUUCUGUUGCCACACGGUCUCCGGAUAACCUCCUAAACUCUUUUCCUGAAGAAACGGGUCACGUCUACUCAGCGUCAACUGUGCAGAAGAUGACCGAAUACAAGCCCACGACUGCUCAAGGUCCCGGAUUCAGUUCCGAAGAGAAAAUAGUCAUGACUGGGCCCAAUAAUUUUGUCUGGCCGACGCGCCCUGCACCGUGCAGCUCACGAACCUGCUAAAUCAACCACAGCUUUUGCUGCAUGCGACGUCGCUGAGAUGAUCAAAAUAUCUUUCUAUAUCUGCCAUUUUCUCUGUAUUGUCGAACUGCUGAUGAACUAUGGUCGGAACGCUUAAAUAAAAAGCAAAGGAAGAGUGAGAGAGACACAAAAUUCUUGUUUUACGAUCUUAUCACCACUCGUUUACUAUGUUUCCGUUUAAUUAAA
This is a long non-coding RNA of Oryza sativa Japonica Group (Japanese rice), 519 nucleotides long. RefSeq lists it as uncharacterized. The record is from RefSeq and is a predicted model, not a curated record. Lineage: Eukaryota; Viridiplantae; Streptophyta; Magnoliopsida; Poales; Poaceae.